RNAcentral lists this transfer RNA (85 nucleotides) under Methanobacteriota archaeon. RNAcentral's name for it is "Euryarchaeota archaeon (sediment metagenome) tRNA-Ser". It matches the Rfam family "tRNA". From Rfam's summary of the family: Transfer RNA (tRNA) molecules are approximately 80 nucleotides in length. Their secondary structure includes four short double-helical elements and three loops (D, anti-codon, and T loops). The record is from RNAcentral. Lineage: Archaea; Methanobacteriati; Methanobacteriota.
GCUGAGGUGGCCCAGCCUGGUAAGGCGCGAGCCUGGAGAGCUCGUGGUGCUCUGCACCUCGGGAGUUCGAAUCUCCCCCUCAGCG